CGUGAAAUUCCGUCGGAAUCUGGGAGGACCAUCUCCUAAGGCUAAAUACUCUCUAGUGACCGAUAGUGAACCAGUACCGUGAGGGAAAGGUGAAAAGUACCCCGGAAGGGGAGUGAAAGAGAACUUGAAACCGUGUGCUUACAAGUAGUCAGAGCCCGUUAAUGGGUGAUGGCGUGCCUUUUGUAGAAUGAACCGGCGAGUUACGAUCUGAUGCAAGGUUAAGCAGAAAAUGUGGAGCCGUAGCGAAAGCGAGUCUGAAUAGGGCGAAUGAGUAUUUGGUCGUAGACCCGAAACCAGGUGAUCUACCCUUGGUCAGGUUGAAGUUCAGGUAACACUGAAUGGAGGACCGAACCGACUUACGUUGAAAAGUGAGCGGAUGAACUGAGGGUAGCGGAGAAAUUCCAAUCGAACUUGGAGAUAGCUGGUUCUCUCCGAAAUAGCUUUAGGGCUAGCCUCAAGUGAUGAUUAUU
This 470-nucleotide ribosomal RNA is filed under the name Staphylococcus pseudintermedius. RNAcentral's name for it is "partial 23S ribosomal RNA". It matches the Rfam family "Bacterial large subunit ribosomal RNA", at positions 425 to 897 of the family's 2925-position model. The record is from RNAcentral. Lineage: Bacteria; Bacillati; Bacillota; Bacilli; Caryophanales; Staphylococcaceae.